Molecule: ribosomal RNA, 405 nt
Filed under: uncultured bacterium
Lineage: Bacteria
Description: bacterial SSU rRNA
Rfam family: Bacterial small subunit ribosomal RNA
Source: RNAcentral
UAGGGAAUCUUGCGCAAUGGGCGAAAGCCUGACGCAGCCACGCCGCGUGAGUGAUGAAGGCCUUCGGGUCGUAAAGCUCUUUCAGCAGGGACGAAAAUGACGGUACCUGCAGAAGAAGCCCCGGCCAACUACGUGCCAGCAGCCGCGGUAACACGUAGGGGGCAAGCGUUGUCCGGAUUUAUUGGGCGUAAAGGGCUCGUAGGCUGUUCAGUAAGUCAGGUGUGAAAACUCGAGGCUCAACCUCGAGACGCCACUUGAUACUGCUGUGACUAGAGUUCGGUAGAGGAGUGUGGAAUUCCUAGUGUAGCGGUGAAAUGCGCAGAUAUUAGGAGGAACACCAACAGCGAAGGCAGCACUCUGGGCCGAUACUGACGCUGAGGAGCGAAAGCGUGGGGAGCGAACAGG